Long non-coding RNA from Salvelinus namaycush (lake trout), 1235 nucleotides. RefSeq lists it as uncharacterized. The transcript is spliced from 8 exons. Lineage: Eukaryota; Metazoa; Chordata; Actinopteri; Salmoniformes; Salmonidae. The record is from RefSeq and is a predicted model, not a curated record.
AUAUGCGUCAUUUUUGACCUAGCGCCUUGACGUGACAUCCGAGCAGAGCAGGGCAGUGUACAGGGAAGCAUAAAGUGCCUUAGACCGAAUGAGUGUCCCCAACUACACAGAGGAAAGUAUGAGCAGAGGAUGGAGCAGUUCCGCUGGACGUACACAGGAGGAAAGUGUCCUUCAACUGGAAAGACAUGGUCAUGUUCCUUGAGGGAGAGGACUGCUAGCAUUGAAAGUACGCUAUGCAGUAAAGGAAGGCUAACCUAUAUCAUAGCCUUUUAUGUGUAAAUAGGUUAUGUAAAGAAACACUGACAAUGGUGACUGACUGACUGUUAGACUUAUUCUUAGAGGAGUAUCUACCAUGGUGGAUAAAUGAAGAUAUCACAUAAAGGCUGUUUACCAUUAAAAAAAGAACAACACGUGCUCCGGACGUUAAAGAACGAGCGUAUCUUUGCUUGGCAGCCCGGCGAAGACCUGUCCACGGAGUAGAUGUGUGUCACGUUCAGACGCUGUAAACAGAUGUUCCGGUACGACUUCCUGACACGCGAUGACAUCAUGGGGAAGCCGUGGAGGACAGUGGUGCUGAAUGACUGGGCAUGUGUGACUGGCCCCUGGGUGCCAACUAUUUGAAUCCUUAACAAAUGGGUCAGAGACCCCAAGACUGCUGGUGAUGCCAGGAGUGAUGGUAGGAGAUAUGGGGGAAAAACUGUGUCAGAACGGACUGGACAAUGAAUAGGUUUGCAGUGUUUCACAAUGGCCAAGUCCCUCUGGAAAUAUGCUCAAUAAGAUCACUGAUGUCACCCUGAGGGAUACUCCGUCAUACCUUUUUAAGUGCUGUUGGCAGUGUAUAAAUGGCUGGUGUGUUUCCUUACGAGAGAGAGUCAGAGGAAGCUGGCCCAGGAGAGAAGGCUUCUGGCAAGGCUGACUUCGAGGCUCGCAGAUGUGUAAGAAGCUGUGGUCUACGGUGAUGGAGGGGAACAAGGUUCUAGAGCAUCCAUCCUGGUGGGCAGAGUUCACCUCAGACAAGCCUGUGGAUUAUUUUUCUGCUGUAGCAAACUGGCUCAAAUUAAGAUCCUACAUCUGUAUGGCCCUCAAUUUACUAUGGUAAAAUUGGGGUAAUUGUGGGAAACUGCCUAUGAAGGGAAGUAGCAACACAUUUGCCACACUGAUCCUCAACACUGGAGCUCCCCAGGGGUGCGUGCUCAGUCCCCUCCUGUACUCCCUGUUCACCCAUGACUGCAUGG